CCUGGUGGCUCAGAGGGUAAAGCGUCUGCCUGCAAAGCAGGAGACCCAGGUUCAAUGCCUGGGUCAGGA
RNAcentral lists this transfer RNA (69 nucleotides) under Capra hircus (goat). It matches the Rfam family "tRNA". From Rfam's summary of the family: Transfer RNA (tRNA) molecules are approximately 80 nucleotides in length. Their secondary structure includes four short double-helical elements and three loops (D, anti-codon, and T loops). Further hydrogen bonds mediate the characteristic L-shaped molecular structure. tRNAs have two regions of fundamental functional importance: the anti-codon, which is responsible for specific mRNA codon recognition, and the 3' end, to which the tRNAs corresponding amino acid is attached (by aminoacyl-tRNA synthetases). tRNAs cope with the degeneracy of the genetic code in two manners: having more than one tRNA (with a specific anti-codon) for a particular amino acid; and 'wobble' base-pairing, i.e. permitting non-standard base-pairing at the 3rd anti-codon position. RNAcentral also lists the same sequence under 1 other name. Lineage: Eukaryota; Metazoa; Chordata; Mammalia; Artiodactyla; Bovidae. The record is from Rfam by way of RNAcentral.